Molecule: ribosomal RNA, 628 nt
Filed under: uncultured Lachnospiraceae bacterium
Lineage: Bacteria; Bacillati; Bacillota; Clostridia; Lachnospirales; Lachnospiraceae
Description: bacterial SSU rRNA
Rfam family: Bacterial small subunit ribosomal RNA
Source: RNAcentral
ACAUGCAAGUCGACCGAAGCAAUUAAGAUGAAGUUUUCGGAUGGAAUCUUGAUUGACUGAGUGGCGGACGGGUGAGUAACGCGUGGAUAACCUGCCUCACACUGGGGGAUAACAGUUAGAAAUGACUGCUAAUACCGCAUAAGCGCACAGUGCCGCAUGGCAGUGUGUGAAAAACUCCGGUGGUGUGAGAUGGAUCCGCGUCUGAUUAGCCAGUUGGCGGGGUAACGGCCCACCAAAGCGACGAUCAGUAGCCGACCUGAGAGGGUGACCGGCCACAUUGGGACUGAGACACGGCCCAAACUCCUACGGGAGGCAGCAGUGGGGAAUAUUGCACAAUGGGCGAAAGCCUGAUGCAGCGACGCCGCGUGAGUGAAGAAGUAUUUCGGUAUGUAAAGCUCUAUCAGCAGGGAAGAAAAUGACGGUACCUGACUAAGAAGCCCCGGCUAACUACGUGCCAGCAGCCGCGGUAAUACGUAGGGGGCAAGCGUUAUCCGGAUUUACUGGGUGUAAAGGGAGCGUAGACGGCGAAGCAAGUCUGAAGUGAAAACCCAGGGCUCAACCCUGGGACUGCUUUGGAAACUGUUUUGCUAGAGUGUCGGAGAGGUAAGUGGAAUUCCUAGUGUAGCGG